This 61-nucleotide small RNA is filed under the name Nostoc sp. PCC 7524. Its description in RNAcentral is "Nitrogen stress-induced RNA 1". It matches the Rfam family "Nitrogen stress-induced RNA 1". The record is from Rfam by way of RNAcentral. Lineage: Bacteria; Bacillati; Cyanobacteriota; Cyanophyceae; Nostocales; Nostocaceae.
UGGUAGAUGCACCCUGAUAACUAACUCCCCUGGCUGGCUGCCACCACCGGGGGUUUUUUAU